RNAcentral lists this small nuclear RNA (100 nucleotides) under Mandrillus leucophaeus (drill). The record is from RNAcentral. Lineage: Eukaryota; Metazoa; Chordata; Mammalia; Primates; Cercopithecidae.
GUGCCUGCUUCAGCAGCACAUAUCUAAAAUUAGAAUACAGAGAUUAGCCUGACCCCUGUGCAAAGAUGACAUGCAAAUUUGUGAAACAUUCCCUAUUUUU